Molecule: ribosomal RNA, 350 nt
Filed under: uncultured Pseudomonas sp.
Lineage: Bacteria; Pseudomonadati; Pseudomonadota; Gammaproteobacteria; Pseudomonadales; Pseudomonadaceae
Description: bacterial SSU rRNA
Rfam family: Bacterial small subunit ribosomal RNA
Source: RNAcentral
CAGGUGCUGCAUAGGCUGUCGUCAGCUCGUGUCGUGAGAUGUUGGGUUAAGGUCCCGUAACGAGCGCAACCCUUGUCCUUAGUUACCAGCACGUUAUGGUGGGCACUCUAAGGAGACUGCCGGUGACAAACCGGAGGAAGGUGGGGAUGACGUCAAGUCAUCAUGGCCCUUACGGCCUGGGCUACACACGUGCUACAAUGGUCGGUACAAAGGGUUGCCAAGCCGCGAGGUGGAGCUAAUCCCAUAAAACCGAUCGUAGUCCGGAUCGCAGUCUGCAACUCGACUGCGUGAAGUCGGAAUCGCUAGUAAUCGUGAAUCAGAAUGUCACGGUGAAUACGUUCCCGGGCCUU